UUUGCCUGAGGAAUCUGAAACUUUUGCCUGCUUUGGCUGACAGAAGCACGUCAGAUGACCUAAGAAGGACAUGUGGAUCUCCGAGAAGUUGCUCUCAGUCUCAAAGGUAGGAUAAGUUACAGUGCAAAUUCCAUAGUAAUAU
Molecule: long non-coding RNA, 142 nt
Filed under: Dromaius novaehollandiae (emu)
Lineage: Eukaryota; Metazoa; Chordata; Aves; Casuariiformes; Dromaiidae
Description: lncRNA (ENSDNVG00000002203.1)
Source: RNAcentral